RNAcentral lists this ribosomal RNA (576 nucleotides) under uncultured bacterium. RNAcentral describes it as "bacterial SSU rRNA". It matches the Rfam family "Bacterial small subunit ribosomal RNA", at positions 102 to 674 of the family's 1533-position model. The record is from RNAcentral.
ACGGGUGAGUAAUACAUCGGAACAUGUCCUGUAGUGGGGGAUAGCCCGGCGAAAGCCGGAUUAAUACCGCAUACGAUCUAUGGAUGAAAGCGGGGGACCUUCGGGCCUCGCGCUAUAGGGUUGGCCGAUGGCUGAUUAGCUAGUUGGUGGGGUAAAGGCCUACCAAGGCGACGAUCAGUAGCUGGUCUGAGAGGACGACCAGCCACACUGGGACUGAGACACGGCCCAGACUCCUACGGGAGGCAGCAGUGGGGAAUUUUGGACAAUGGGCGAAAGCCUGAUCCAGCAAUGCCGCGUGUGUGAAGAAGGCCUUCGGGUUGUAAAGCACUUUUGUCCGGAAAGAAAUCCUUGGCUCUAAUACAGUCGGGGGAUGACGGUACCGGAAGAAUAAGCACCGGCUAACUACGUGCCAGCAGCCGCGGUAAUACGUAGGGUGCAAGCGUUAAUCGGAAUUACUGGGCGUAAAGCGUGCGCAGGCGGUUUGCUAAGACCGAUGUGAAAUCCCCGGGCUCAACCUGGGAACUGCAUUGGUGACUGGCAGGUUAGAGUAUGGCAGAGGGGGGUAGAAUUCCACGU